CAGCUGGAGGAGAUCUCUGCUUGGUGUAAAGAGGAAGGUCUUCCUCCUGACUCCUCAAAGGAAGCUCAGCUGUGUUUGCUAUGGCGUGCCCUUCAGCACACGAUGAGCCGCCUCAGCAAAGUGACCAGAGACCUGGAAACCCACCGCUCUCAGCACUUAGCAGAAAUGGCGGAGGUACGCAAGUCGCUGGAGCAGAUCAGAUUCUUCACGGAGCACAAAAAUGUUUUGGCUCAGGAGAUACAAGAAGAGAAUGAUCACCUUAAGGAGCAGCUGCGGCACCUAAUAUCACUUCAAGAUGCCCAGAUUAGCGAGGUGGCUAAAAUGCUGUACCAACAGGGUCUCACAGAGUUGAUUCACAGCAGCCCCAGUGAGCAGGUGGCAUACCUCCUGGUGGAGAGGGCUUCCCUGCUUGAGACAAGUGAGCUUACAGACAAGGUGAAGGGAUAUGGAAACACAGCCAAUCAUAUGGGGACAGGAGCACAAGUGAAGAGGACCGGCGUAUCCCAGGCUGCCCACAAGGGGGCACCACGUCAUGGGCAGAGCGCAUGGAAAAAACUCUUUGGACUCAAGUCUUCACAGAACAAACAUACUUUUAUUCCUUGUUAUUUAGCUCUGUUCUGAGCACAGGUUAGGGAAUUUGCAUGGCAGAAGAAUUUCAAGAUACUACCCGACUGAUGCAUCUUGACACACUGCACUUCUCAAGGCUGAGGCCAGAUUUUUGGCUGGCCAGGAAAGCAGUUUGGGGAGAGAAUGCUCCCGGCUGGAGCGGGACCUGGAGGAGGGCUCCCGUCGGCUGGCAAUGGCGCACAAUGAGAUCCGGCGUUUGACUGAUGAGCUGGAGUCUGCUCAUUUGACCCAGAGAGCGUAUGCUUUUCCUGGAGGCAUUUUGUUCCUUCCAUUCAUGGAAAUAUUGCAGGAAUGCCCUGAGGGAAUUUCUUCGAAUUUGGAGUAGACGUUCACUGUGACUUAAUCCUGAGAGCCUGAGCUGCAAUCAGCACAGCAGGAGGUGGAGCAGCUCCGGCAGGAGGUAGAAAAGCUGAAGAAAUAUGAAAUUGUGGAAUUGCGAAAGACCAAAGAGCUAAAUGAUCGCCUGGACCUCGAGAUCCGAGCCUUGAGGAAUAGGGUUCGCUCAUUGGAUGCUGAGAAAACCUCUUUGCAGCAGACGGUCGUGUCGCUGCAAGAAGAAGCAGAGCAGCUGAAGGCAGCCUUACAGGAGGAGCUCCUAACUAAACAGGCUCCAGCCAAACAAGUAACAGAGAUGACUGAAGUUGUGUCUCUAAAGAAGAAGGCAGAGCGACUGGAGUCAGCCCUACAAGAGCAGCAGCAGCAACUUCUCACUGUGCAAGUUCAGGCCAACCAUGCCAACGAAUUAGCCAAAAUACAUUCUCUUCAGCAGCAGGUUGACUGUGCCCAAACCAGCGUGGAUAACCUUGUGCUAAAUAUCAACAGCAGUGAAGACAUCCCGCAGGAUCAAAAGCUGCUGAAACAAAAAAAGGCAGAUCCCCAUCUUUUUGUAAACACUCAGUCGCAUGACUCCUUUAUGACAGCGGAUGAAGAGCCACAGACGAUAAAGUACGAAGAAAACGCACCACAAAAGGAGUGUAUUAACUGUCAACAAGCAAUGAAAACUCUGCUGUCCUCCCAAGAGGAGUGUGAGGCACUUAAAAAGGAGAUCUGCGAAACCCUGAAAUGCAUUGAUGAGGAGCGAAGCAAAUUCCACAAGAUGAAGCAAAAACACAAGGCCAAACUUUGCAGAGCCAAACAGAAAUUUGAAGAUGAAACCACAUGGCGUGAUGAGAAGAUAAAAAGUCUAGAGAGAGAAUUGUCCUUGUGCUGUCAUUCAGUAGCAAAGGAGAAGGAGCUUGUCAUAAGCAUAACUGUGGAAAAUGAGAAACUACUCUCUGAGAGGAGGAAGCUACUGCAACAGCUAAACGAGGAGGAGCACAAGAAGAAGGAUAGUUGUCUAAAAGCUUCUUUAUCCAAAUGCAGGGUGGAACUUUUAGAGCUGGAAAACAAGAAACUCGGAAACCAAAUAUCACAAAUGUCCAACCAGCUCGCUGUCCUGGAGUUCAGCCUGCAGAAGACACAGCUGCUUCACUUUGCUGAGAAACUUAAGAAAAUGCCAGAUGACCAGCAAGUUUUCAAGUCUCUUCCUCAGCAGUCUUCAAGUGUGAUUUCACCCGAGCUGUCUGAAGCUCAGGGCUUGUUGGAUGGUACACUUAGAGGUCACUCCAAGCAGACAGAUGGGACUUGUUACAGUCAUGCGUCUGAGAUUUUGUGUCAGUCAGCAGAUAUGAGCUACCUGAACCUGACCUCCACACAAAAAAACCACUUGGACCGCUCACCUCCCCUGGCUGCCCUCAGCAGCCUUGAAAAUCUGCCUUCCUGAAGUUUUCUGUUUUGAGUGUGAUCAUGAACUAUUUUAUUUGUAUGUUAAA
Oreochromis aureus is the source of this 2438-nucleotide long non-coding RNA. The record is from Ensembl. NCBI's taxonomy places the organism in Eukaryota, Metazoa, Chordata, Actinopteri, Cichliformes, Cichlidae.